Long non-coding RNA from Macrobrachium nipponense, 5989 nucleotides. RefSeq lists it as uncharacterized. NCBI's taxonomy places the organism in Eukaryota, Metazoa, Arthropoda, Malacostraca, Decapoda, Palaemonidae. The record is from RefSeq and is a predicted model, not a curated record. The transcript has 3 exons.
AACAAUUUUCACCUUAAAUGAAGAGGGAAUCAGUCGACAUCUUACCAGGAAGUAAUUAUAGAUAGUAGAUUAAUCUUCCCAUUAUUAUAUCAAGCGCCAUGUAGUGAAGUGGUCUUCUUGAAUAGAAGCAGGUUAUUAUUUGCAAGAGCAAGUGACAAACAAAGAUCUUAUUCAAAAGAGGGAUUUCGUAUAAUAAUCACUAGAACCAACUACAGAUGGCGCCACGUGUCUUCCAAGGAGACACUAACCUUUGUUCUGCCACUUCAUGCUUCCCUGUUUUAGUCAGAAUCUUGAAACCUCGGGAAGUUGAGGAAACCCGUGGGUUUCGGCAAUCUUGUGUUGGCGAAUGGCGAGCCCGAGACAAGUGUUAGUGUCAGUUGGUCGGUUUUGUAAAACUGACCUUUCUUUCGAUUCGAAUCGUCUGUCUUUGGCAGAUUGAAGAGCCAUGUUUCUUAAGUUGGAAACCAAAUUACAAGAAAAUUAGUGGAUUAAAACCAGGAUUACACAAAAGGAAGUCCAGGUAUUUGACAUAAAUUAUUUUCAGGUACAUCCGGAAGAAUGUCGUACGGAUGGAAUCUGGAUAAAUGACUACUGUAAGAAGAACAUACCCCUCCGCUGUCUCUUCAUCUGUGAGAAGGCACAGCAACUUGACAAGAAAUUUUCAACAGACAGCUAGACGAAAGGUGACACAAAUGACUACAGUAAAUACAAGAAGCAAGAUUACUUUGGCUUUAACGAAGCCUCUGAAGAGGAAGAGGCACAAGAAGGACCUUCGUCAGCUCCUCGGCCUUCAGGCCAGCAAAGGGGUGGCUUCACCGUUUCAUGAAAGUUCCAAUUCAAAAAAUUUUUGUUGCAUGGUGAAGCUGCGGCGGCAGGAGCAAAACAUCCAGAGCGCUUCAAAAAGAUAAUCUGCAACAAUGGCUACUGUCCACAACAGGUACGUUGUACGGACAUACAUGUAUGUAUUCUACUGUAAACUGCACAGCUACGUUACAUAAUUCUUCAGCACCAUCUUCAACACUGAUCACUGUUCAGUACCCAUAUGAUUAACUUCACAUAUAUGUAGUAUAGGCAGUCCCUGGGUUACGAUGGGUUCCAUUCUUGAGACGCGUCGUAAGCCGGAACAUUGUCAAAAAUCCUAAGAAAACCUUACUUUUAAUGCUUUGGGUGCAUUCAAAACUAUAUAAACUGCAUUCUUACUGCAUUUUUCAUCAAAACCCUUCAAAUAUUGAUUAUUUUGCUUUUUUGGUGUCACAUUUCUUCUGUGAGAUCGGCGUUGUAGGCGUCGUAACCCUGGAAAUAAUUUCUGAUAUAUAUAAUUGAAAAGCGCCUUAACCUCGGAAUGUCGUAAGCCAAACCCGUCGUAACCUGGGGACUGCCUGUAUUUGUAUAGGAUGUAUACGUAGUACAUGAAUGUUGUACUAAUACUUAUAAAUAUUAGUACGUAUACUGUAAUAAAUAUUAGUAUACUGUAGUAAAGUGUAUUUUAAGUGUUUGAAAUUAUAUUACUAAAAUGUUUAAAUGAUAGUGGUCCAAUAUCCGAGGAAGUAGUAGUAAAUUUCCCCCAUGAUAAAAUUGGGAUGUGUACGGUAAAACCUUGUUUUAAAUGACCUGGAACCCACAGACAUCGGAUUUAAUGGACAAAAUCCGGCCAAAGGUAAUAAAGCCUAAGGCUACUGUAAAAUUAUACAGAACCAUCUGUGUAUAGGCUAGCUUUUGCAACAACAGGUAUCUUAUGGAAAAUUGGUAAUGAAAAUAUAUUAAAUGCCGUUUUACUUACUGCCUAAUGUUGGUGGUUUGCAAGAUUUUUGAGUCCAUAAUUAUUGCACAUAAAAUUGUGGAUCACAUAUAGAAACCAUUUACUGCUAAAACAGCCAACACGGUUUCCGACAAAACAGAUCCUGCGUAUGAACCUCUUGGGGUUUUUCCAUAACAUGCUAGGUAUUUACGACAGUAGUAGAGCAAUAGAUAUUCCAAAAGGCCUUUGACAAAGUCCCACACAAGAAACUGAUGACAAAAGUUAGAACUUUAGGAAUUGUAGGAGAAACAGCAGACUGGGUCGAAGACAAUCGUAAUAAAUGGUGGAGAAUCAGAAUGGGCAGAUAUAACAAGCGGAGUUCCCCAGGGUUGUGUCCUUGGCCCUCUGUUUUUCAUUUACAUUAAUGACAUUGAUGUAGGCUUAACUAGCAGGAUAGCCAAAUUUGCGAAUGACACCAAACUAGGUAUAAAUGCAGCAGACCCACAUGCAGUGGAAAGUUUAAGAAAUUAUCUAAUGAAAAUAGGAGUGGUAAAAAAAUGGCAAAUGCCUUUUAACGUAGAUAAGUGUAAAGUGUUACAAAUAGGAACAAAUAACCCUCAUACCAGCUACAUGCUGAAUGGGAAUGACGGCGUAGAACAAGAGGACGGCCUUGGAGUCAUUAUUAUCAAGGUCUUAUAAUCCACAAAACUCUGCAGAAAAGAAGGCUCAGAAACUAGUGGGAUGCAUAAAGAGGCAGCUCAAUUACAGAAACAAGGAAACUCUGCUGCAGCUCUACACACAAAUAGUUAGACCCCAUCUUGAAAAUGCAGUGCAGUUUUGGUCACAGUCACUAAGGAAAGAGACAAAUAGAUUAGGAGUACAAGCAAGAGCUGCAAAAGUUUAUUCCAUCCAUCAGGCAAAUAGGGACUAGAGCGCCUGAUCAUGUAUAGCUUAAAAACAUGAUUGUGAGGACAACUAAUAGAAAAAUUUAAAAUACUGAAAGGCAUAACAAAAGUAAACAGUAAAUUAUUUACAUUAGAUGAAAACCAGACAAGAAAUAAUGGAAACUAGAACUGAAGGGAUAAAACUAAUCCCAUUGUGGGAACUUAUUUACAUAAAAGAUAUGUGGCACGUGAAAUAAACUUGCCACCAGAAGUUGUAAACCGCAACAGUGUGGAAGAGUUUAAAAGAAAGCUUAGACAAAAUCAUUAGGACACAGUGAAUGCACAAUAAAACCUGCUCCUACAGUUAAGUGUGCACACGAUGUCUCCUCGGAUGGACCAAGUCUUGAGACAUCCUAAUCCUUGUAAUUCCUUGUAACUUACUGUAUCCUUGAAAAUUCAAAAUAAAAGAAAUAAAGCGAGUUCUAUAUGUUUUUCCUAAACACGCGGCCUAAAAGGAAACCAAAUAGUAAAGUUUCAUCAUCGCCACAAACCUCUAACAAUACGAUAAUUCUAAACUUUUUUACUACAAAAAUAAGUUUUUGGUGAAAAAUUAGUAACCUAAAAUUAAUAUUAACCUAUAUUUUAAUACUAUACUGGCUCUUCCUAACGCCUCGGUUGGCAGAAGUUUGGAAGUGCCAGUGCAGUGUUAAAAAAUAAGAUUCCCGUCUUUAAAUGUUUUUAUAUUUACAUUUCACCGCUAGUCGCAAACAACUAUAAAAUAAUGUGCGAUAAUUAUAGUUUGUAUGGCUGCACUGUUUGGGAAAGUUAUUUACUACCAAAAGAGUAAUUAAUUUGGAAUUAAAACUGUCAUCCUAAAUGUUAUUUAUCCUAAAUGUAUUUACCAUAAUUACACCAUACCAUUAAAAUUUCUGAUAGGUUACCGAACGAUGAGUGUCGCUGUGAACGCAACCGUAUAACUUUAAAUUUUGUUGCUGGCGCCACUGUUAAAAGUUUAUUUCAUUGAUAAGGAAUUAUUCCUUGAACAUGCUAUCUAUUAUGAAGAUAUGCCAAUAAUAUAUAAGGCGAAAAUGGUUUUAUUAACUUUUCAUCAGUUGAUAUUAUAAUGUGACUUUUGACCCUGAGGCAGAGGAUUAUGCCUACCUACAAAUAUCAUAUACACAACACUGACGAAUGCACGAUGCUGGGAAUUAUACCCGUGAUAUAGUCUGAGAAGCAUUCCAAGGAAAAACCUGUGGCUAGCAGACUCAGAGACUGCUGAUCCGCAACUAAGCAAUGACCCACUGCAUUGAGUUUGCCUCUGGUAGUUACUACCUUCAAAAUAUGAAAGGCAUGUUAGUGUGUACCUGAGCUUGAUUAGUGUCCUUUAGCCCCGUAUUUAGGAUAUGGUUUACAAAGACUAGUUUUGAUGGUCAUGGUUAUAUAGUUAUAUUAAUUACACACAGCGUUUGUUUAUCCAUUUUCAGACAUUACAUUUUAUUUUAAUUUUAUUUAUUUUGGUAGUUUUGUUUUGAUUAUUAGGUACAAAGAUUGGAUCGUUUCCUGUUAUGACUUAAAACAAGAAUGUCUCUUAACAGCUGAGAAUGCCAGAGACUUAUAAUCCUUUUCAUUCUGGCCUAUUAUUAGCCAUAGGUUAUCUUUUGAGGAUUAAGUACAGGAUUGGUAAUUACCAGUGAGUUUAGUGUUUUAGUAGGCUUAAUUCAUGUCAUUUUGUAGGAACUUAACUAGUUUUGGUGGUUAGCCUUUCAUUGAUAACAUUUUUAAGAGGUGAAUAGUUCAAAGAUUCUUGCUAAUUUUUAAAAUAUAUAUGCAGAUACAAUACAUUAGGUGGAUGUCGGUAAAGUACACGAAGUGGUAACCGUCUGAGAAAUAAAGGACUAUAAAACUGGAACAAUUUAUAAAGUUGGCCGAGAGUGUGUACAUAUAUUGAAAAUCACUGAAAAUUAAAUAUGCUGUGACAAAUUCGAAAGUAUUUAUGAGAUAAUUAACAUGUUUAGAAUUAUGGUGUAAAAAAUUAUGGCGUAAAAUUGUUCUACUUGGAAACAAAAUGGUUUACUAUAAUGUGAAGUUUUAAGACAAUUUAUUUUUCAGUAAGUUUUUUUCAUGGCUAUAUCCAAGCACAAGAAUACUAACCAUAAAUGGGAAUGUUUAGUAUCAACCUGUAAUCAAUGAAGAAAGGAAGUCGGCCCACAUACUGUGAGAGUGAAUCGUAAAAUACAAACUAGGCAGAAGGUAACAAACGGUUUCAUCAGAACUGAUGGUGUUAGACCUUGACCAUGGUUUUUAUUUUUUUUUUCUUUUCUUUAGAGGAAAUACUUUACGUUAGUUUUUAUAUUUGAGCAAUGUACUACACAUAAAUACUUGUUAGUAAAUUUAAAUCUGUAUCAGCUGGAUUACUAUUGUAGCAUUAUCUGUAAGUGCAUAUGCUGUAAUCUUUUAAGACAUUGUAUAUAAAACCAAAUUAAUAUAUUACAAAUUCCAUUACUGAUGCCACAGAUAAGCAUAUCCCAAUAUUCACGUGGUGAGAGUUAUAGUGAGAGUAAAAAUUAUCCCAUGAUCAGUUGAUUAAACUGGUUCGUUAAUCGGCCAAGUCCAGCAUGUAUUAAGUGAAAAUAAUUUAUAGCCAAUUGAAAUCUUUGCCUUUCAAGAUGACACAAGAAAAUUAACUAAAAACAUUCAAACCAAUAUACAAUAGUUUGAGGUAAAAUUUUACUCUUAUCAUAAAAUUGAGAACUUGUUAAAUAUAUGACAGCAUUUCUAGCGUAGCAUUUCGAGUGUAACUUGAAAAUAAAACAAUUUGACAAAAAGAAAAUAAUUUAAAAAGAAAAUCCACAAACAUCAUAACAGACAGUUUAAUGUAUCAGUUUUCAACACUUGUGUUAAUGAAAGGUGAGAACUGUCAGCUUUCAAGUUUUGAAACUGCCAAAGCUUUAUUAAAAUUUUGAGAAUAAUGGUGUAAAAUUGUUCAACUUUGAAACAAAAUGUUGUGAGAAGUUUUAAGUGAAUUUAUUUUCCAGGAGAAGUUGUUUUGGUGGCUAUAUCCCAAGCACAAGAAUACUAAACAUAAUUGGGGAAUGUUUAGUAUGAACCUGUAAUCAAUGAAGAAAGUAUUGUGAGUAAAUCAUGAAAAUACUAACUAGGCAGAGGGUGACAAACUGUUUCAUCAGAAGUGAGGUUUUAGACCUUGACCAUGGUGGUUGAUUUUUUUUUUUCUUUAGAAAAAAUACUUUACGUUAAAGAUAGUGUUCAGCAAUAUUGUUAAGUGUUGCUAGGUGUUUUAAGAUGGUAUAUAUAAACUGAGGGCAAUUUGAUUUUAUAAAUUGAUUCAUCUGUAUUAUUUAAAACACAU